GCGGCAGGCUGGCGCCGCCUGACGGGGGAAGACAGCAGCUCUAGCCCGGCGCCGAGCGGCAGGCCGAGCGGCAGGCCGGGCGGGGCCGGGCGGCGAGGACAGCAGGUCUACCCCGGCGCCAACUUGCCAGGCCGGGCAGGGCCGGGCGGCGAGGACGGCGAACAGGUCUACCCCGGCGCCGACUGGCGGCAGGCUGGGGACCGGCUGACUGGGACAGCAGGUCUACCCCGCCGCCUGGAAACGCCAGGCCGGGCAGGGCCAGGCGGCGAUGCCAGGCGUACCCCGGCGCCGAGCGGCAGGCCGGGCCGGCACGGCCUGACGGGGGCAACAGGUCUACCCCGCCGCCAAACGCCAGGCGCCCAAGUCCGGCCGGGGAGAGUCGGUCUACCCGCCACCCGCCAGGAAGGGUGGCCAGGGGAAGGGACGCCACGCGCUUCCCCGCACCCCAAGCGCCGAGCGCGACGGAGCCCGCGGGCGUGGCAGCAGGGGCGACGACGCGCGGCUGCCCCGGCUGGCCCGGCUGGCCCGGCUGCCCCGGCUGCCCCGGCUGCCCCGGCUGCCCCGGCUGCCCCGGCUGCCCCGGCUGCCCCGGCUGCCCCGGCCCCGCGGCGAGAGCACCAGGUCUACCCCCCCGCCCGGAGACGGCAGCGGACAGGCGCCCCCCCCUUGCACCGCGCGCGCGGUGAAGAGGGACGCCCGCCGCCGCCGCCGCGGCCAAGCCCCCAAACCCCGCGUAUCGGGCACCGGGACCCGCGCGGGGGGGGGGGGGGGGGAAGUCGAGGCCGCGGGGCCCGGCGGGGCCUCUCGCGCACGCGGCGCGCCCGGAGCGCACCGCCGGCGGCGGCGCGGCCCUCACUCGCGGUUUUUCGGGGUUUUUUUGCCCGGCCCCCGGACUCCGCGUAUCGGGCCUGGGGACCCGCGCGGAGGAGAGCGCGAAAGGCGGACCGCGCGAGGAGCGGGGGCGCCCGCGCGCCCCACGCAACCGGGGCCCCCCGUCGGCCCCGGCCCGCCGCCGAGAGGCCUCGGAGGAGGAGGAGGAGGAGGAAAGGAGGCGUUUCUCCUUUCCGAAGGAGGAAAGGACGCGCGCGCCCCCGGCCGGAGCGCGCACGCCGGAGCGGCGGCGGGGCCGGCCCCUCGCGCCCCGCUCGCCCGCUCGCUCGAGCGACAAAAGCUUGUGUCGAGGGCUGA
RNAcentral lists this long non-coding RNA (1188 nucleotides) under Corvus moneduloides (New Caledonian crow). RNAcentral describes it as "lncRNA (ENSCMUG00000019014.1)". Lineage: Eukaryota; Metazoa; Chordata; Aves; Passeriformes; Corvidae. The record is from RNAcentral.